AUGGUGCGCGGCAAGUCCGACCGGGGGGACACGUCGGUGGUCGUCGUCGUCCUAGAGACAAAUGAGGUGUACAUUGUGGCGAGCCUGUCGACAGCAGGCGACACGCAGGUGAUCUGCGUCGACCCCACCACGGGCGCCCUGCGCCACCAGGGGAAGCAGGGGGAGGACCUCUUUGAUUCCGAGGCGGCUGCUCUGAAACACAUCACCAACGGGUCGAGAUUCUUAUCCAAGAGCACCACAUAUGCCAAAGCCGUGCUGGGCUAUGCCGUGUUGGGGAGUUAUGCUCUGCUUCUCGUUGCGACGCAGCUCAGUGCGACGGUCCCACGGCUACCUGGAGGCGGGUGUAUAUAUACCGUGGUGGAGAGUCAAUGGGUAAAGAUUCAGCUGCAGAAUCCUCAGCCCCAGGGAAGUGGAGAGCUGAAGAAUAUCAAGGAUUUGGCUGAUCUUGACAUUGAUGGUAAGUACUACUUUUGUGAAACGAGGGAUAUCACUAGGCCGUUUCCAAGUCGGAUGGCUAUUCAGGAACCAGAUGAGGAAUUCGUGUGGAAUGCGUGGUUGUCAAGGCCUUUCAAGGACAUUGGUUUGCUGGGGCACUGUGUCAUUCUUUUGCAGGGCUUUGCAGAGUGUCGCAAUUUUGGAGCUACAGGGCAGCAAGGUGGGGUAGUUGCUCUCAUUGCACGCCGCAGCCGGCUACAUCCUGGAACCCGCUAUUUGGCUCGUGGGCUGAAUGCAUGUUCUGGCACCGGCAAUGAGGUGGAGUGCGAGCAAAUUGUUUGGGCCCCUCAAAAAGGUGGGCAAGUAAUACCUUUUAACUCGUAUAUCUGGCGGCGUGGGACUAUACCAAUAUGGUGGGGUGCAGAAAUAAAGAAUGCUGUGUCAGUUGAGGCCGAGAUUUAUGUUGCUGAUGAUCCUUACAAUGGGACCUUGCAAUACUACCAACGGCUGGGUCGAAGAUACGGUAAUAAAUCAUCUGAAGUCAAUGCUACGAGUAAUAAGAAGAAACCUGGAAUGGUUCCCAUUGUGUGUGUUAACUUGCUAAGAUAUGCUGAAGGAAAACCGGAGACAAUUCUAGUUGAACAUUUCAAAGAAUCUCUGAAGUACCUGAAGUCUACUGGCAAGCUUGGAAACACCUGGAUUCAGUUGAUAAAUUAUGACUGGCAUGCCACUGUGAAGUUAAAAGGACAACAACAGACAGUUGAGGGCCUCUGGAGGCACCUUAAAGCACCAACAAUGGCCAUUGGCUUCAGUGAAGGGAAUUACUACAGUGUAAAACAGCAGCUUAACGAAUGCAAGGGAUCAAUUAUCUGCAAUGAUGAUGGUGGGUUCUGUAUGCAUAAUAUUCAAAAUGGUGUGGUACGUUUUAAUUGUGCAGAUUCUCUUGAUCGCACCAAUGCUGCUAGCUAUUUUGGGGCGCUUCAAGUUUUUGUCGAACAGUGUAGUCAACUUGGUAUUUCCCUUGAUAUAGAUGCUAUGUUUGGCUUAUCGACAAGCAGAAAUUCUGAGUAUAACGGUCGGAGUGCUCGUUCUUUGCCCCCUGGAUGGGAGGAACGCUUUGACUCUGUAACAGGUAAAUCAUUUUAUAUCGAUCAUAAUACACGUACUACCUCAUGGGAGCAUCCAUGCCAGGAAGCUCCACAAAAGCGCUGGAAGAGAUUUGAUAUGACAUUUGAGCAGUUCAAGAGCUCAACAAUGCUUGCCCCAGUGAACCACCUUGCUGAAAUUUUUCUUUUGGCUGGUGAUAUACAUGCCACGUUGUACACUGGCUCAAAAGCUAUGCACAGCGAGAUUCUAAACAUAUUCAAGGAGGAGACUGGAAAGUUCAGUAAAUUCUCUGCUGCUCAGAAUGUCAAGAUUACACUGCAAAGAAGGUUCCACAAUUAUAUGAAUGAUAGCUCUCGUCAAAAACAGUUUGAGAUGUUUCUUGGAUUGAGGCUAUAUAAGCAUCUCCCAUCCAUCCCAAUUUUCCCUCUCAAAGUACUAUCGAGACCAUCUGGAUGCAUGUUGAAACCAGUUCCUUGUAUCACUCCAAUGGCUGAUGGUGGUUCCAGUCUUCUCAGCUUCAAAAAGAAGGAUAUUGUUUGGGUAUGCCAGCAAGGUGCAGACUAUGUUGAGCUUUUUAUAUACCUUGGAGAACCUUGUCAUGUUUCUCAGCUUCUUCUUACUGUUUCCCAUGGGGUUGAAGAUUCUUCAUAUCCAGCUACUGUAGAUGUCAGAGUUGGCUCCAGCAUAGAUGCCCUUAAGCUUGUUGUUGAGGGCGCUUGCAUACCCCAGUGCUCGAAUGGGACAAAUUUGUUGAUCCCUCUCACUGGAAGAAUUCAUCCAGAGGACUUGGCUGUUACAGGCAAUAGUGCUCGACCGGACGUUCAAGAGAGCACUUAUCUUCCGUUGUUAUACGACUUCGAAGAGCUGGAAGGAGAAGUGAACUUUCUAAAUCGGGUUGUCACAUUAUCUUUUCAUCCUUCUCCCAUGGCGAGAACAGCCAUCACACUUGGUGAGAUUGAAGUACUUGGUGUUUCUCUUCCAUGGGUGGAUAUGUUAACCAAUAGCAAAGGUGUUGCUCAAGUUUUGGAGCUCCUCCAUGAAAAAGCAUAUACUCCCCGCGAUCUAGCUUUGAAAAAUAUUGCAGAUUCUUCCUCUCCUGGUAAUGCUGUUCACGGUAGUGAGAGGAGUUAUACUAGAAGUUCAUCAUCAGUUCAACCUGGUGGUUCAGGAAAUUUUGUGGAUUUUCUCACGGGUGAUAUCGACGUACCGAACCAAUCAAAAAACACUGGAAAUACAUCUUUUGGUAAUGAGGAUCAGACGAACUUCUUUGAUGAUGAAUUUGACGUCAACCCUUUUGCCACUGCAUCAGAAGAGCCUGUUGCUGAAGUCAAUAACCAUGUUGAAGAUUGUGGCAGUACACAGUUUUAUCUCGAGUUUUUGGAGUCACUUUCUCAAAAUAAUAAGGGAAAGAGCCUUAACUUUGAACAAAGGAUGAAGCUUGAAAUAAAACGUCUUUAUCUUGAUCUUUCUGCUGCCGAAAGGGACCGGGCAUUGUUAUCGAUUGGUGUAAUUCCUGCCACGGUAGAUCCAAAUCGUUCAGUUGAUUACUCUUACCUGUUGAAGUUAUCCAGCCUUACUGACAAGCUAGCAUUGCUGGGGCAUUCUGUCUUCGAGGAUCGUGCUAAUGCUUCAAUAGGGCUCGAAAAGGUCAAUAGCCAUGCUGUAGACUUUUGGAAUAUCAGUGAAAAUGGUGAAUCAUGCUCUGGUGGGGCAUGUGAAGUCCGUGUUGUAUCUUCGUUACAAGCUUCAGCUACUAGUGGAAAUACAUCACUAUUCGUGGAGUGUUCCCAGUGCGAAAGGACAGCUUGCAAGGCUUGCUGUGCUGGGAAAGGGGCCUUCCUUUUGCUUGGCAACACUUACAGAGAUCUGAAGAUAUAUGGUGGGAAUCAAGGUGGUGGCUAUUCAGCCCUCGCAGAUAGUUCUGUGUGCAAAUCAUGCUGCAAUGAGAUGAUCAAACAAGCACUGUAUGUCGAUUAUGUCAGGGUUCUUCAUAGUAUGAGAAGAAAAGGUCGUGCGGAGAAAGCAGCACUGAAAGCAGUGAAUCAGGUCUGCCAACUUGAGCCCAAUAGAAUAUCGGAUUCAGUACAUAGUGUUCAAUCUGGUCUGAGACAAUUGAAGCAGCUCCUUGAUGAUGAAGAAUCUCUUGCAGAAUUUCCACAUGCAAGCUUUUUACAUACGGUAGAAACUGCUGAUGACUCUGCUCCACUGUUUUCAUUGCUGGCACCACUUGGUAGUGGAGUGCACAAGUCCUACUGGAAAGCUCCACAAGGCAACACAUCUGUGGAGUUCCCGAUUGUUCUUGGCGGUAUAUCAGAUGUUUCAGGAGUUGCAAUAAUUGUCAGUUCCUGUGGUUACUCAACAUCUGAUUGCCCAAUUGUGGAGAUAUGGGCUAGUAAUAAAAUACAGCGAGACGACCGGACAUUCGUAGGAAAGUGGGACGUGCAAAGUAUGAUAGUGUCAUCUCCACAGCUUUAUGGACCAGAAAAUUCGGGUAGCUUGGAUGAGGCACCAAGACACUUUAAACUACACUUCCCAAAUCCUAUCCGUUGUCGCAUAAUUUCAAUAAAAAUGACACUUCCCCAAAUUGGUUCUAGCUCAACCAAGUUUAAUGAAGACUUUAGUGAUCUUUUAUCAUUGGAUGAAAGCUCAUUUAUUGAUUCUAAGGCAAACAAUUCACAUAACUCAUUUAUCCAUGCAAAAAGGAUUGUUGUUUUCGGUAGCUCUUUGCCCAAGGAAAUGGGUCCUGACACAUCUGUGGCAAUAAUGAGGAUGAGAAGUUACGUAGAUGGAUCACCAUCGUUUGGCAGAUUUAGGAUUCCGGUUGAGGCUGAGAGGUUGAGAGACCACGAUCUUGUUCUUGAGCAAUAUCUCUUGCCUAAUUCGCCUGGAAUAGCUGGAUUUCGCCUUGAUUCCUUUGGUGUUAUAAGACCUCGUGUAACCCAUUCACCUCUGCCAUCAGAGUUAGAUAUGAAGGAGUGUUCAUUGAUACGUAUGGAAGAUAGACACUUAAAUCCUGCAAUUCUUCAUAUACAAGUUACAGUUGUUAAGGAGUCUGGCAAGCUGGUUGUAGAGGAAUACCGUCUGCCGGAAGUUAAAGCAAAUACACCACUGUAUUUUGAUUUUUCGGAUUUGCAGCAAGAUGCCCGUUGUGUUAUCUUUAGAUUACUUGGAGAUGUCACUGCCUUUGUUGAUGAUAUUGCUGAGAUUGAUGGCUUAAGCUUGCGGAAUCUUCCUCUGGCUUCUGGAUUGUCUUUGUCAAAUAAGAUCAAGCUGUACUACUACGCUGAUACCUAUGAGAUGGGAAAGAUCGGCAGUCUCUCGGCAGUAUGA
RNAcentral lists this ribosomal RNA (4872 nucleotides) under Triticum aestivum (bread wheat). Its description in RNAcentral is "partial small subunit ribosomal RNA". The record is from RNAcentral. Lineage: Eukaryota; Viridiplantae; Streptophyta; Magnoliopsida; Poales; Poaceae.